This 3760-nucleotide unclassified non-coding RNA is filed under the name Megachile rotundata (alfalfa leafcutting bee). RNAcentral's name for it is "dNA-directed RNA polymerase II subunit RPB2, transcript variant X1". Lineage: Eukaryota; Metazoa; Arthropoda; Insecta; Hymenoptera; Megachilidae. The record is from RNAcentral.
AUUCCUGUUUGUGUUACGUAGUUUUUGACGGUGGAAGUUACAAUCAGAAAACGUUAUAAGAACGCGUAUAAAAUUUAUAAAAAGCAAUAAUGUAUGCUCUAGAAGAUGAUCAAUAUGACGAUGAAGAUGCAGAAGAGAUUUCGUCAAAACUUUGGCAAGAAGCAUGUUGGAUCGUUAUUAAUGCUUAUUUUGAUGAGAAAGGUCUUGUACGUCAACAACUUGACAGUUUUGAUGAAUUUAUUGAAAUGUCUGUUCAAAGAAUCGUUGAAGAUUCACCACAAAUUGAUUUACAAGCAGAGGCACAACAUACUUCUGGUGAAAUAGAAAAUCCAGUUAGACAUUUGUUGAAGUUUGAACAAAUUUACUUAUCUAAGCCUACACAUUGGGAGAAAGAUGGAGCCCCAUCUCCUAUGAUGCCUAACGAAGCAAGACUUAGAAAUUUAACAUAUUCAGCACCAUUAUAUGUAGAUAUUACUAAAACGAUUGUAAAAGAUGGAGAAGAUCCUAUCGAAACACAACAUCAAAAAACAUUUAUAGGAAAAAUUCCAAUUAUGUUGAGAUCAAAAUAUUGUUUACUAGCUGGUUUAUCUGAUCGUGAUUUGACAGAAUUAAAUGAGUGUCCAUUAGAUCCUGGAGGUUAUUUUAUUAUUAAUGGAUCAGAAAAAGUGCUAAUUGCGCAAGAAAAAAUGGCAACUAAUACUGUUUAUGUAUUUAGUAUGAAAGAUGGCAAAUAUGCAUAUAAAUCAGAAAUUCGAUCUUGUUUAGAACAUAGUUCACGUCCAACAUCUACAUUAUGGAUUAAUAUGAUGGCAAAAAGUGGAGCUAGUAUUAAAAAAUCUGCUAUAGGACAACGUAUUAUUGCAAUUAUACCAUACAUUAAACAAGAAAUUCCUAUUAUGAUUGUUUUUCGAGCACUUGGAUUUGUAGCUGAUCGUGAUAUUUUAGAACAUAUUAUAUAUGAUUUUGAUGACCCUGAAAUGAUGGAAAUGGUGAAACCUUCACUAGAUGAAGCUUUUGUAAUACAAGAGCAAAAUGUAGCUUUAAAUUUUAUUGGUACAAGAGGUGCAAGACCUGGAGUAACGAAAGAAAAACGUAUUAAAUAUGCUAGAGAAAUUUUACAGAAAGAAAUGCUUCCACAUGUAGGCAUAAGUGAUUUUUGUGAAACUAAAAAAGCUUAUUUCCUUGGUUAUAUGGUACAUCGAUUACUUUCAGCAUCUCUUGGCAGGAGAGAGUUAGACGACAGAGAUCAUUAUGGAAAUAAAAGAUUAGAUUUAGCUGGCCCAUUAUUGGCAUUUUUAUUUAGAGGUUUAUUUAAAAACUUAAUGAAAGAGGUGCGGUUGUAUGCACAGAAGUUUAUAGACAGAGGAAAGGAUUUUAACCUUGAACUUGCUAUAAAAACUAAAAUUAUUACCGACGGUUUAAGAUAUUCACUUGCAACAGGUAAUUGGGGUGAUCAAAAGAAAGCUCAUCAAGCUAGAGCUGGUGUGUCACAAGUAUUAAAUAGAUUAACAUUUGCAUCAACACUAUCUCAUUUACGAAGAGUAAAUUCUCCAAUUGGAAGAGAUGGAAAACUAGCUAAACCUCGUCAGUUACAUAAUACUCUAUGGGGUAUGUUGUGUCCAGCAGAAACCCCUGAAGGUGCGGCUGUAGGUUUAGUAAAAAAUCUGGCAUUAAUGGCUUAUAUUAGCGUUGGAUCUCAGCCUUCUCCAAUUCUUGAAUUCUUGGAGGAGUGGUCUAUGGAAAAUUUAGAAGAAAUUGCACCAAGUGCAAUAGCAGAUGCAACAAAAAUAUUUGUAAAUGGUUGUUGGGUUGGUAUUCAUAGAGACCCAGAUCAAUUAAUGGCUACUUUACGUAAAUUAAGACGACAGAUGGACAUCAUUGUAUCAGAAGUAUCUAUGAUAAGAGAUAUUAGAGAUCGUGAAAUCAGAAUAUAUACAGAUGCUGGAAGAAUUAGUAGGCCUUUAUUAAUCGUAGAAGGACAAAAUCUUUUAUUAAAGAAAAGACAUAUUGACAUGCUGAAGGAAAGAGAUUAUAAUAAUGACGGUUGGCAAGAACUAGUUGGCAGUGGAGUUGUUGAAUAUAUUGAUACUUUAGAAGAAGAAACUGUCAUGAUUGCAAUGUCACCUGAAGAUCUAAGACAGGAAAAGGAGUAUGCUUAUUGUACAACAUAUACACAUUGUGAAAUUCACCCAGCAAUGAUUUUAGGAGUAUGUGCAUCAAUCAUUCCAUUUCCUGAUCAUAAUCAGAGUCCAAGAAACACUUAUCAAAGUGCUAUGGGUAAACAAGCUAUGGGAGUAUACAUUACAAAUUUUCAUGUUCGAAUGGAUACUUUGGCACAUGUACUAUAUUAUCCUCAUAAACCUUUAGUUACUACAAGAUCUAUGGAAUAUCUUAGAUUUCGUGAAUUGCCAGCUGGAAUUAAUAGUAUAGUUGCUAUAUUGUGUUACACGGGUUAUAAUCAAGAAGACAGUGUUAUUUUAAAUGCUAGUGCUGUUGAAAGAGGAUUCUUUCGAUCUGUAUUUUAUAGAUCUUAUAAAGAUUCAGAGUCUAAACGAAUUGGUGAUCAAGAAGAACAAUUUGAAAAACCUACACGACAAACUUGUCAAGGAAUGCGUAAUGCUAUUUAUGAUAAAUUGGAUGAUGAUGGAAUUAUUGCUCCAGGUAUUCGAGUAUCUGGAGAUGACGUAGUUAUAGGUAAAACUAUUACUUUACCAGAAGCAGAUGAUGAGUUGGAUAGUACAACAAAACGUUUUACAAAACGAGAUGCAUCAACUUUCUUACGUAAUAGUGAAACUGGUAUAGUAGAUCAAGUAAUGUUAACAUUAAAUAGUGAAGGAUAUAAAUUUUGUAAAAUACGAGUACGUAGUGUUCGUAUACCACAAAUCGGUGAUAAAUUUGCUUCACGUCAUGGACAAAAAGGCACGUGUGGAAUUCAAUAUAGACAGGAAGAUAUGCCAUUUUCAUGUGAAGGACUUACACCAGAUAUAAUAAUUAAUCCUCACGCUAUUCCAUCGCGUAUGACAAUUGGUCACUUGAUUGAAUGUAUACAAGGAAAAGUGUCAGCUAAUAAAGGUGAAAUUGGUGAUGCCACUCCGUUUAAUGAUGCUGUAAAUGUACAGAAAAUUUCCACACUUUUACAAGAAUAUGGAUAUCAACUAAGAGGAAAUGAAGUUAUGUAUAAUGGCCAUACAGGCCGCAAGAUAAACGCACAAGUGUUUUUAGGUCCAACUUAUUAUCAGCGUUUGAAACAUAUGGUAGAUGAUAAAAUUCAUAGUAGAGCUCGAGGUCCUGUGCAGAUUUUGGUUAGACAACCAAUGGAAGGUAGAGCAAGAGAUGGUGGUUUACGAUUCGGUGAAAUGGAACGUGAUUGUCAGAUUUCCCAUGGAGCUGCACAAUUUUUAAGAGAACGUUUAUUUGAAGUCUCAGAUCCAUAUCGAAUACACAUAUGUAAUUUUUGUGGUUUAAUUGCAAUAGCAAAUUUAAGGAAUAAUACAUUCGAAUGUAAGGGAUGUAAAAACAAAACACAGAUCUCUCAAGUUAGAUUACCAUAUGCAGCAAAGUUACUUUUCCAAGAACUUAUGGCAAUGAAUAUUGCACCUCGAUUAAUGGUAGCAUAAACAUCGAUAUAUUUAUUUCCAUAGUAUUAUGAAUUUUACAUUUGAGCAUCCUAAUUAUAUAUUGUACGAGACAUACGUCUAAAAUACAAAAUUUUGCCCUACAUACUGGGCAUGUACAUUUGGAUGUCAACCACGUUUCAGGU